RNAcentral lists this ribosomal RNA (646 nucleotides) under uncultured bacterium. RNAcentral's name for it is "bacterial SSU rRNA". It matches the Rfam family "Bacterial small subunit ribosomal RNA", at positions 66 to 705 of the family's 1533-position model. The record is from RNAcentral.
ACGGCAGCAUAGGUGCUUGCACCUGAUGGCGAGUGGCGAACGGGUGAGUAAUGCAUCGGAACGUGCCCAAUCGUGGGGGAUAACGCAGCGAAAGCUGUGCUAAUACCGCAUACGAUCUACGGAUGAAAGCGGGGGACCUUCGGGCCUCGCGCGAUUGGAGCGGCCGAUGUUAGAUUAGGUAGUUGGUGGGGUAAAGGCUCACCAAGCCGACGAUCUAUAGCUGGUCUGAGAGGACGACCAGCCACACUGGAACUGAGACACGGUCCAGACUCCUACGGGAGGCAGCAGUGGGGAAUUUUGGACAAUGGGCGAAAGCCUGAUCCAGCAAUACCGCGUGCAGGAAGAAGGCCUUCGGGUUGUAAACUGCUUUUGUACGGAACGAAAAGGUCUGCCUUAAUACGGUGGGCUCAUGACGGUACCGUAAGAAUAAGCACCGGCUAACUACGUGCCAGCAGCCGCGGUAAUACGUAGGGUGCGAGCGUUAAUCGGAAUUACUGGGCGUAAAGCGUGCGCAGGCGGCUUUGUAAGACAGACGUGAAAUCCCCGGGCUCAACCUGGGAAUUGCGUUUGUGACUGCAAGGCUAGAGUACGGUAGAGGGGGGUAGAAUUCCGCGUGUAGCAGUGAAAUGCGUAGAUAUGCGGAGGA